AUUCCAUGAUGAGGGCACUUUCAUAAUAAUUCUUUGUACCUUUCCCAUGCCUCAUACAAGGACUCACGUUCCAUCUAUUGGAAAGUAGUGAUCUCAUUCCUCAACUU
Gossypium raimondii (Peruvian cotton) is the source of this 107-nucleotide small nucleolar RNA. It matches the Rfam family "Plant small nucleolar RNA R71". From Rfam's summary of the family: R71 is a member of the C/D box family of snoRNAs containing the C (UGAUGA) and D (CUGA) box motifs. Multiple nearly identical copies of this snoRNA have been identified in Arabidopsis, and it is thought to function as a 2'-O-ribose methylation guide for 18S ribosomal RNA. The record is from Rfam. Lineage: Eukaryota; Viridiplantae; Streptophyta; Magnoliopsida; Malvales; Malvaceae.